Pimephales promelas (fathead minnow) is the source of this 1865-nucleotide non-coding RNA. The record is from RefSeq and is a predicted model, not a curated record. NCBI's taxonomy places the organism in Eukaryota, Metazoa, Chordata, Actinopteri, Cypriniformes, Leuciscidae.
UUGUGACUUUCUCUCUUUUUUGUCUCGCUCCAGUCCAGAAACAGUCUACAGCAGGGGGAUAUGGAUGGGGCGAGACGCCUGGGACGCUUGGCUCGUCUGCUUAGCUGUGUGGCUAUCAUAGUGGGCCUCCUAAGCAUCAUAAUCUAUGUGGUGGUUGCAGUAACUGGAAAGGGGAUUAAGUAAGACGUGAAACCCAUCUACAGCACUACUGAAAAACUUACACAACAUAAUUAAAAUAAGAUCUCCCUCUUAACAAUAAUGCCACAGAAGUUGAAAAAUAAAUUAGGACUGUAGCAUCUAAAUAAGAUCUGAUUAAAUAUCAAAAAUGCAUGCAGUAGCUUAGCAUGCUCAGUGAAAAAAACAAAAUCCCAUUAUGUUAAAAAGAAUGGUGAUGGCUUGCUUUAUGUAAAUGAGAAACACUGAUGUUUCGGCAAGAAAUCGACUGAGAAAGUCAAAGGACGAGGGGACAUUUUUCAAAGAUGGUCUUUAAAAACAUGGCUACGACUGGCAAGCUGCAUUUUAACCUUAUAUUACUCCUGGUUGAUCUUGCAUUCAUAAAUUAUGCACAGAAAUAUUUGCAAUAUAACUACUGAUGUAUGUUUUAUAAAAAGAUUUAUAUGUGGAGUUUAAGCUAUGGGAACCAACUGGGAAUGACAAGACUGUUAGAAGCCUUGUCAGACUUAACAGUAAUGGUCAUUGGGGUUGGAGUUUUCAUUUUUGUUUAUUUAUUUUGUAGGUUUUGAUUAUAAAAAUGACCACCUGCAUGCCUGAUCUUGUAAGUGAAUAACUGACAGUCAGCAUUUUUUAUUAGUAUCUUUUUUAUUUACUUAUCUGUGAGAGUAGUGGGUAUCUACAGAUGGGAAUGUACAUCAUUGUCCAGUGCUAUAUUCUCUCAAUGGCUCCGUCCAAGCCAUGGGGCUCCACUACACAUCCUGUACUAGUAUAGUUUCCUUCAGAGAGGUAAGACUGUUACGUUACGCAUGCCAGGCCUCUCCUGACAAAAACUGCUGGAGCAUGGACAUUCACCUAGAGGCAUGCAACGGCCAGCACCAUUCUGUGCCAAGACCUUUAUAUCAGUAUCCUAAACAAAUCACAGGACUACUCAUCUUUUCCAGGGUUCUCUCCAGGACAGAAUGCCAGUCUCCCCGUUAUAAAUUUCCCUACUUAACCCUUAUAAAUAUGAGAUAUAUAUCAGCAUAUUUAUAGAAAUAUUUAGGCAUGCUGUGGGUGGACAAAACACUUUUUUUUAUCUUCACCAAGAAUGAGCUUGUUUAAGGAACUUUUCUUUGACACGUCUCACAGUGUUGAUUGCAUCUCUGUGACUGCUUAUUAAGACAAAAUUACACAAAUUAAAUAUGAGAUUGUAAAAAUAGAGGUACAGAUACAUAACAGCACUUAACUGGUUAGGUAGACUGAGGUUAGGAUGGACACAUUCCACAGCACAUCUGUUUCAUUCAUACUGAAUUAAGUAUUUUACUGCCCUUUCCUAGAUUUCUAAGCACUUUAUCCCUUAUUUUUCAUCAUUAUUCUCAUGUCCUGACAAUACUUUUGUAUGACCUUCACGUGUAAUCUCCUGAAUCUAGACUGUUAGCAACUCAACACCUACGACUUCAUUUAUAACCAUUGUACUGUAUAAUUUACUGUUUUGUGAAUUCAUGUGAUCUAAUGCUCCUUUUUUCCUAAAACUCUUUUCUUCACUUUAAACAAUUAUGUUAACUGUGUAGUUCAUAAUAACCAUUAGGCCAAUAUGAAUGAGAUGCAAAAAUGCUGCUAUGUGUCUUUUAAAACUGUGAUUUGUGUACAAAAUAUGUUUUUCUAUGUACCUUUGCAAGUGUGAAAUAAACAUUAACAUGCAUGGUCCACAA